Molecule: transfer RNA, 79 nt
Filed under: Lentinula edodes (shiitake mushroom)
Lineage: Eukaryota; Fungi; Basidiomycota; Agaricomycetes; Agaricales; Omphalotaceae
Description: tRNA-Pro
Rfam family: tRNA
About the family: Transfer RNA (tRNA) molecules are approximately 80 nucleotides in length. Their secondary structure includes four short double-helical elements and three loops (D, anti-codon, and T loops). Further hydrogen bonds mediate the characteristic L-shaped molecular structure. tRNAs have two regions of fundamental functional importance: the anti-codon, which is responsible for specific mRNA codon recognition, and the 3' end, to which the tRNAs corresponding amino acid is attached (by aminoacyl-tRNA synthetases). tRNAs cope with the degeneracy of the genetic code in two manners: having more than one tRNA (with a specific anti-codon) for a particular amino acid; and 'wobble' base-pairing, i.e. permitting non-standard base-pairing at the 3rd anti-codon position.
Source: RNAcentral
GGGCGUAUGGUCUAGAGGUAUGAUUCCUGCUUUGGGUAAACCGUGCAGGAGGUCCCCGGUUCAAUCCCGGGUGCGCCCC